UCACGUUUAGGUACAUAUCAAUAUUAAAUGUUGUUAAACAUGGCAGGAGGUGAUGCAUGUGAUUCUACACGUCAUUCUACUCGGUUUACACAUAUAGGUCAUUGCUAACGGAGCUAUGGUUAAAAGAUACGUGCAACACAAGAUAUUAUGCCAUGAAUGCAACAUGCAUGCAUUUUAUUAAAACACUGGCAAGAACGAUAUGAAGCAUGCGUCGCCAUGGCCAAAGAAUGGGAACCAUGGCCACAAAACGGAAACGAUGCAACGACAAUGGCCCAGUCCCGAUAACUCGCUGAGAUACCAGUGCAAAAGAAUUAUGAGCGUGUGCGUGUCAUGCCAAAGAAUGAUGGGGUAUUCCCGGUUACCGGGUUCCCAUGUAUCGGGGGCACCACAAAAUAGGGACAACAUGCAACGAGCAAGAAUAUACGGUGCAAACAUACGGUUCAUAUCAUACAUCACAUGCAUUCGGACCACGGAUGAUCGUCUCGCUGGUUAUACCUUCAAAGCAUGCAAUUCGUAGUAGAUCGACUCAUUGCGAUGUAGAUGUACAUGGGUCGUCGUGGACGUCGUGGAAGUAGUGGUACUCGGCGAUCUUGUUAGUUCCACGCGACAAAUCCAAGCUCUCGGCGGUCCUGAGCUUGGCCAUCCGAACUUCCAGUAUAGUGGUACAUAACGCUGGUCUUGGUCGUCUCCGAGGAACUCGGUGUGGCAGUGACAAAAAGAUCAAUACUAUUCAACAAGUAUCUUCGGGCGACAUGUCCAACUGGUUAAAAGGAACCAGCACCAUCCGAAGGCAACCAAGUCCAUUUUCGUGGCGUGCUCAUCGUACCUGGCUGGAAGCGAAGCUCGCGAGGUCAAUGCGGUAGCGGACAUGGAAGGGAUCCGCGAGGGGGACAUGGCAGGACGCAAGGAGGGGGCUCGGUGCGACGCAAGCAGGAGGUUGGGGAUGGCACGACGCGUGGGUUAUGUACAUAGGCCACGGCCAUGGGAGGCGGGUGUCAGCCAGGAGCUGAGAUGCAAUAGGAGAAGGGAGGGACAAUGAUGCGGUCCGUCGGAAGGUGGAGCAGAGCAUGCGCGGAGCGGCGACAUGAUCUCCGUCGUGGAGCUCGCUGGCCGGAGCGAAAAUAGGGGGCACGCGGGGCACUCAGGCCGGCCAUGGCAUGGCUGAGCGCGAGCAGGUCUGUGGCGGCUCCAGCCAAGGAUGGGUACGAGGAGGGGCUGCGCAAUGCAGGAAGAGGGAGGAGGGGGCUCGGGAAUCUCGCUCGGGCUGGCCACCCAGUGGUCGGUGCUAUGGGAUCGAGAAUGGGGAAUGAGGAGGGGAUCCGGACGAGUGUUGGUCGGCCAUGGGGAUCGGGGCAAGCUCCUGGUGACGACGCUGACGGGAGAAGGGGGAUGAGAUCGAGGAGAGGACGUGAGGGGAUUGAGUGGAAGGUGGCCUAGGGUUAGGAUUUAGGUGCGUCGGCUAGGCCUAGGGCUGGC
This 1476-nucleotide long non-coding RNA is filed under the name Hordeum vulgare. RNAcentral's name for it is "long non-coding RNA (HVUL_LNC012188)". Lineage: Eukaryota; Viridiplantae; Streptophyta; Magnoliopsida; Poales; Poaceae. The record is from RNAcentral.